GGAAUGGUACAAAAAAAAUCACAUAUAAGAUGUCGAGGUGGCUCAAAGGCCAAGAUCUACGGUACCUGGUGUAGAUACAAAGAAUGAUGUUUGUUCCUUACAAACUGGACAGGCUUAGACACUUUUGGAUGACAAGUUUGCAUUCCCCCAUCUUAAGGGAAGCUCUCAUUUGAUGGAAACUAGAUGAAAGAAAUCGUACUGUUUAGCCAAACAUCAUUCAGAGAGAAUGGUCCUAUCUGCAGUGGCAGAUCCAGACAUGUUCGGAUGGUAGUGUGAGCAAUGGCUGCAAAGGCCGUGUCAAAUCAGCAGAUGGCUUGCAUGAAGGCAUAUAUAUUUAAUCUGGGCAUGACAAUACAUUGUUGACACAAAAACAAGCACCCUAAGACGGCAUUCCACAAGCACUGACAUCAAGACAUGCGACAUAUGCAACAGGGAAACAGUAAUAACAAGCUUAAUCUGGUGUAUACUUAAUAGUAAAUUAUGACACUAUAUCAUGUUUAUUGACAGUCAAUAUAUUCAAACUGGGAGAAAACAAAGAGUAGUUGAUCUCUAAGUCUAAGAUAGAAUGGAAUCAUCCAAGAAGAAACUUAGCACGAAAGGAGAGCACUUCAAGUUAAGGGCGGGCACGAUGUGGGGCGUGGGGAAUCAGUUGAGGCCCGGAAUUCGGAAAACAAAUUGCUAUUAGUACUACACCACGCAGCAGAGGCAAGACCGCAGCAAACUAGAUGGGUUGGAGCACCCCGUAUCCCUCCAUUGCGGAACAGGGGAGCGAGAUUAGAUUAUACGCAUCAAUAAAAAAUACAGUAAAAAUAUCACGGAAUAAAUCUCAGAACGACAAAGUAAGUUAGGGUUCGUCACCGGCGAAAGGGAUCGAUCCAAAGUCCGAAUGGAUCUCCACUCCGCGCCAGUCCAGCUCCUCCAGCUACGAGAGAAGAACUCCUCCGGCGUGGUGUGGUUCGGUCGAAGGUGGCAUGGGGACGUGUUCGUCGGGGAGGAUCCGGUGAGUGUCGCGCAGCCGCCGCCGCGGCGAGGGGAAGUGAAAUCGAAGCAAUUGGGUGGGCCGGAGAGGCGACGGAUCGGGAUAUCUGGUAUUUUUCACAGGGACUCGUAGAGUCGUAGGGUUCUUUUUCCUAAUUUUUCCAGUAGUAAUUAGACCCUGGGCUGGAUGCUAAUUAUUUACUUCAUUUCCCUAAAAAGACAGAUAUGCUAUCCAGUGAACGUUCGUUGGGGGUGGGAUCCCAACGAACGCCCCCAGAACAGUUAGAUCCAGAUCAGACGGUGGCAGUACUUGCAAUUACCCACAAUUAAACAAGCUGCCAUGGCAGUUUUGCAAAAUGC
RNAcentral lists this long non-coding RNA (1338 nucleotides) under Hordeum vulgare. Its description in RNAcentral is "long non-coding RNA (HVUL_LNC004922)". Lineage: Eukaryota; Viridiplantae; Streptophyta; Magnoliopsida; Poales; Poaceae. The record is from RNAcentral.